UGGGGAAUAUUGCACAAUGGGGGAAACCCUGAUGCAGCGACGCCGCGUGAACGAAGAAGGUAUUCGUAUCGUAACGUUCUGUCCUAUGGGAAGAUAAUGACAGUACCAUAGAAGAAAGCUCCGGCUAAAUACGUGCCAGCAGCCGCGGUAAUACGUAUGGAGCGAGCGUUGUCCGGAAUUAUUGGGCGUAAAGGGUACGCAGGCGGUUUAAUAAGUCGAAUGUUAAAGAUCGGGGCUCAACCCCGCAAAGCAUUGGAAACUGAUAAACUUGAGUAGUGGAGAGGAAAGUGGAAUUCCUAGUGUAGUGGUGAAAUACGUAGAUAUUAGGAGGAAUACCAGUAGCGAAGGCGACUUUCUGGACACAAACUGACGCUGAGGUACGAAAGCGUGGGGAGCAAACAGG
This 403-nucleotide ribosomal RNA is filed under the name bacterium. RNAcentral describes it as "partial 16S ribosomal RNA". It matches the Rfam family "Bacterial small subunit ribosomal RNA", at positions 355 to 776 of the family's 1533-position model. The record is from RNAcentral.